GCCGGCGUAGCUCAAAGGUAGAGCGGGGCACUUGUAAUGCCCAGGUUGCCCGUUCGAGUCGGGCCGUCGGCUCCA
This 75-nucleotide transfer RNA is filed under the name Armatimonadota bacterium. RNAcentral describes it as "Armatimonadetes bacterium (oil production facility metagenome) tRNA-Thr". It matches the Rfam family "tRNA". From Rfam's summary of the family: Transfer RNA (tRNA) molecules are approximately 80 nucleotides in length. Their secondary structure includes four short double-helical elements and three loops (D, anti-codon, and T loops). The record is from RNAcentral. Lineage: Bacteria; Bacillati; Armatimonadota.